Molecule: transfer RNA, 55 nt
Filed under: Tetragnatha puella
Lineage: Eukaryota; Metazoa; Arthropoda; Arachnida; Araneae; Tetragnathidae
Description: tRNA-Asn
Source: RNAcentral
AUUUUAUUAAGCUUGCAGCAAAUUCAUUGUUAAUGAAUAGAAGUUUUUUUUAUUU